GAUGAACGCUGGCGGCGUGCCUAAUACAUGCAAGUCGAACGAACAGAUGAUGCUCUUGCUCCUCUGUCGUUAGCCGCGGACGGGUGUGUAACACGUGUAUACCCUACCUAUCUGACUGGUAUAUCUUCAGGAAACCGGCUCUAAUCCCAUAUGAUCUAUUGCACCGCGUUGUUCAAUGGUAAAAGACGGUUUUUCUGUCACUUCUAGCUGGAUCCGCGCCGCAUUAGCUAGUUGUUAAGGUAACGGCUUUCCAAGGCAACGAUGCGUAGACGAACUGAGAGGGUGAUAGGCCACACGAGAAGGGAGACACGGUCAAGACGACUAAGGGAGGCAGCAGAAGGGAAUGGGACGCAAUGGGCGAAAGCAUGACGGAGAAACGCGGAGUGAGAGAUGAAGGUCUUCGGAUCGUAAAAAUCGGCUACGAGGGAAGAACAAAUGUGGAAGUAAAUAUGCACGGAGUGACGGUAACGAAUAAGAAAGCAACGGCUAACUACGUG
RNAcentral lists this ribosomal RNA (497 nucleotides) under uncultured bacterium. RNAcentral describes it as "partial 16S ribosomal RNA". It matches the Rfam family "Bacterial small subunit ribosomal RNA", at positions 28 to 507 of the family's 1533-position model. The record is from RNAcentral.